ACGCCCAUCGCGCUUGUACAUGUUGUCGUACUGCUAAUGCCCCAAAACCGCCCAAAGUUGGAUGGCCAUAUAACAAAUAUUUAGGAACCCCGGUGAGUCGUCUCUCUUGUGCGACCGGUCCGAGGUUCCUAUCAAUAAGCUUGGCCGCUUUAGCCUCAAUAUUCAUGAGUUGAGCUUCUGGGGGAAACCCCCCGUGUUCCAUAUGCCACGUAAAACGAUGCAGCCCAUAUGCAGCCGCUGCAUGUGCACGUCCAAAAAUGGAAAGAUUUAACACCGAAAUGCGUCGAAACC
This 291-nucleotide long non-coding RNA is filed under the name Volvox carteri. RNAcentral describes it as "long non-coding RNA (VCAR_LNC000690)". Lineage: Eukaryota; Viridiplantae; Chlorophyta; Chlorophyceae; Chlamydomonadales; Volvocaceae. The record is from RNAcentral.